This 388-nucleotide ribosomal RNA is filed under the name uncultured bacterium. Its description in RNAcentral is "bacterial SSU rRNA". It matches the Rfam family "Bacterial small subunit ribosomal RNA", at positions 29 to 408 of the family's 1533-position model. The record is from RNAcentral.
AACGAACGCUGGCGGCGCGCCUAACACAUGCAAGUCGAACGAGAAGGCGUAGCAAUACGCUUGUAGAGUGGCGAACGGGUGAGUAAUACGUGGGUGACCUACCCUCGAGUGGGGAAUAACCCGCCGAAAGGCGGGCUAAUGCCGCGUACGCUUCCGUCCUCACGGGGACGGAAGGAAAGCUGUACCGUGGGUACGGCGCUCAAGGAUGGGCUCACGUCCUAUCAGCUUGUUGGUAGGGUAACGGCCACCAAGGCUACGACGGGUAGCUGGUCUGAGAGGACGAUCAGCCACACUGGCACUGCGACACGGGCCAGACUCCUACGGGAGGCAGCAGUGAGGAAUAUUGCGCAAUGGGCGAAAGCCUGACGCAGCGACGCCGCGUGGGGGA